UACGUAGGGUGCGAGCGUUAAUCGGAAUUACUGGGCGUAAAGCGUGCGCAGGCGGUUUGGUAAGACAGAUGUGAAAUUCCCGGGCUUAACCUGGGAACUGCAUUUGUGACUUCCAGGCUAGAGUGCGGCAGAGGGGAGUGGAAUUCCGCGUGUAGCAGUGAAAUGCGUAGAUAUGCGGAGGAACACCGAUGGCGAAGGCAACUCCCUGGGUCUGCGCUGACGCUCAUGCAAGAAAGCGUGGGGAGCAAACAGG
Molecule: ribosomal RNA, 253 nt
Filed under: uncultured bacterium
Lineage: Bacteria
Description: partial 16S ribosomal RNA
Rfam family: Bacterial small subunit ribosomal RNA
Source: RNAcentral